Molecule: non-coding RNA, 178 nt
Filed under: Leptolinea sp.
Lineage: Bacteria; Bacillati; Chloroflexota; Anaerolineae; Anaerolineales; Anaerolineaceae
Description: 6S RNA
Rfam family: 6S / SsrS RNA
About the family: E. coli 6S RNA was the first non coding RNA to be sequenced, but its function was unknown until recently. It consists of 184 nucleotides that fold into an extended hairpin structure with a large single-stranded internal bulge.
Source: RNAcentral
AUUACCCUGCCGUGUUCGUGAUGCUGCGACUGCGGUUUUGCGCCAACAGUUAAUACUUGGAUCUUCAUCUCACGGUGGUGACGCGAUAGGCUUCGGCCAAGGCGGAUCUGCCGGGUCGGGAUCCUUCCUGCGAAAGCAGGUGCAAAACUACGCAACACAUCGGCAUGGCGGGGUUUUU